AGAAUGUUCUGGGGGUGUUGGUCGCGACCAGAGAAGGGAAAAGGGGGAAACCCUAAUUGCAUGAUUCAACCUCAAAAUUCAGCAAGAUUGUGAAGGAUUAGAGUCAUAAAUCGCAUGCUAGUGUCUAAAUACUCUCUAAUCCAAGUGUUUUGAACAUAAGGAUCGAAAGAAGAAGGAGCUAGUUCCGGAUCACAAACAAAGGCACAAGAUCGAGGUAAAGCACAAGUUUAAUCGUCGUUGCGUCACUCGGAUAUGAACACACCUUGAUCACCCGUGAUGCGCUUCCGCCUCUUUUGUAGUAAUUUCAAAUGUUAAUAGUUUUGUAAUGUCUAGUUGUGUUGAAGUCUUUAAUCUUUAACUAGUCGUUUGCAAGUAUUUAGUACUUAGAACUCAAUGUUUGAAAUGGUGGUUGAAAAUGUUAUGUUCUUUUGGUGUUUUAGGGAAAGUGUCGUAGUUUGAGUAUUUUGAUAAAGUAUAAACAGGGAAUUUGUCCAAGUUACGAAUGGGUCAUGCCCAAAUUUUAAAUUUUUAGGUGAUUAAACUAUGUGUCGUUCUUGUGUCUUUCAAGUACCAAAUUAGAGGGUGUUACAAA
Long non-coding RNA from Helianthus annuus (common sunflower), 592 nucleotides. RefSeq lists it as uncharacterized. The record is from RefSeq and is a predicted model, not a curated record. The transcript has 3 exons. NCBI's taxonomy places the organism in Eukaryota, Viridiplantae, Streptophyta, Magnoliopsida, Asterales, Asteraceae.